CUCCUACGGGAGGCAGCAGUGGGGAAUAUUGCACAAUGGGCGCAAGCCUGAUGCAGCCAUGCCGCGUGUAUGAAGAAGGCCUUCGGGUUGUAAAGUACUUUCAGCGGGGAGGAAGGCGAUGCGGUUAAUAACCGCGUCGAUUGACGUUACCCGCAGAAGAAGCACCGGCUAACUCCGUGCCAGCAGCCGCGGUAAUACGGAGGGUGCA
Molecule: ribosomal RNA, 208 nt
Filed under: Mesorhizobium sp.
Lineage: Bacteria; Pseudomonadati; Pseudomonadota; Alphaproteobacteria; Hyphomicrobiales; Phyllobacteriaceae
Description: partial 16S ribosomal RNA
Rfam family: Bacterial small subunit ribosomal RNA
Source: RNAcentral